UUUUAGGUGAUGAGGCCGGCUUGGAAGGAGGGCAUACGCUGCCCUGGGGACAGGUGGGUACCAGCAGUGAAGAUGGUCCUUCAGGUCUAAGAGCCACUUUGAUAGCAAGAGAGACUUUGGACAGUGGAGGACUAUGGAGGAGACCUAGGUUCUGAGCACACUGCCAUGGGUCAUCCCUAAUCUGUGAAGCGAAUGUGGCCUCAUGCUGGCCUAUCCCCCUACCUGGAGGGAGGCAGCACUGGGAACUCAUUUGCCCGGGACUGGGACCCAAUGAAGCCCAAGUAGCCUUGUGAAAUAAUGAAUCAUUUCUGGGAGAAGACACCUGGAUAAAAUAAGAGAUGAAACAACAAAUAAGAAAAUGAAACAUUUUCUUCUGAGAAAAAUAGAACUAGGCACCUUCA
Lutra lutra (Eurasian river otter) is the source of this 401-nucleotide long non-coding RNA. RefSeq lists it as uncharacterized. The record is from RefSeq and is a predicted model, not a curated record. NCBI's taxonomy places the organism in Eukaryota, Metazoa, Chordata, Mammalia, Carnivora, Mustelidae. The transcript is spliced from 3 exons.